CAUUAAAAAAAAAAAUAAGGCUAGAUUAUAAAAAAUUCUCUUACAAAUAUUCACUUUUUUACUCUCUUUUAUUUUUUAAAAAUUUAUGUUUUACUCUCUCAACAUUUUAAAUUGUUGCAUAUAAUCUCUCUAUGUCAGGGUGUCAUCACUAUUUUGUCCUUUUUCUCUAUAAUUUAUAUAAAAAAUGACCUUCAGAAUAAUAUAAAUACAUUAAAAUUUAUUACUUAUUUUUAUAAAAAAAUAAAAGUAAUUUGAUUAUUUUGGCAUCUUCAUUAACGUCGUACUUUUCUGACAACAUUUCUAAAAUGUUACGAAAACAAAAAAUAAAUUUUUAAAAGUUAGAGAAAGUGAAAAAACGAAUAUUUAUAUAGAAUUUUUUUGUAAUUUAGACAAAAAUUAAAAAUUAUUCGUUUAUAUGUAUUUUGUUU
This 428-nucleotide long non-coding RNA is filed under the name Ananas comosus (pineapple). RNAcentral describes it as "long non-coding RNA (ACOM_LNC011421)". Lineage: Eukaryota; Viridiplantae; Streptophyta; Magnoliopsida; Poales; Bromeliaceae. The record is from RNAcentral.